This 456-nucleotide long non-coding RNA is filed under the name Salmo salar (Atlantic salmon). RNAcentral's name for it is "lncRNA (ENSSSAG00000086602.1)". Lineage: Eukaryota; Metazoa; Chordata; Actinopteri; Salmoniformes; Salmonidae. The record is from RNAcentral.
GUACCUGUUAGGGAUUGAGGGGCUUUCUGGAAUGUGCUUUGGCAUAUGAUUGCUGUAGAUAAGUGUUAGGUAGCAUACACCGUUGUAAUGGUCACAUAAGCCCACUGCUAACACAGUUGUCUUCAUGCUACAGCUUUUGCCAUCGACAGCCAUCAGUAUCAUUAAGCCCUGCACAACUACCGUGCUGUUUCUCAUUUAACAACAGGAAUAAAUGAUGCUCAACUGGGACCACUGGCUGAUGUGAUUUAUUAGGGAAAAAAAACACAACGCAAGGAGAGUACGAUAUACAUCUGUUACACUACAAUAGUUUAAAAAAAAUUCUAAGUGUUUGUCAGUUGGGCAUGCUCUCUACAAGGUUUUGUUACUUAUCAUAUGAACAUCAUUUUCUGACUCAAAUAAAGUUCCCUUAAGGUUUCAAAUUUUAAAUGAUAGAGAAUGCAUUUUGUUAAAAUAAAA